AGAAUGAACGCUGGCGGCAUGCCUAACACAUGCAAGUCGAACGAAGUCCUUCGGGGCUUAGUGGCGCACGGGUGCGUAACGCGUGGGAAUCUACCCUUAGGUUCGGAAUAACAGUUGGAAACGACUGCUAAUACCGGAUGAUGACGUAAGUCCAAAGAUUUAUCGCCUAGGGAUGAGCCCGCGUAGGAUUAGCUAGUUGGUGUGGUAAAGGCGCACCAAGGCGACGAUCCUUAGCUGGUCUGAGAGGAUGAUCAGCCACACUGGGACUGAGACACGGCCCAGACUCCUACGGGAGGCAGCAGUGGGGAAUAUUGGACAAUGGGCGAAAGCCUGAUCCAGCAAUGCCGCGUGAGUGAUGAAGGCCUUAGGGUUGUAAAGCUCUUUACCCGGGAUGAUAAUGACAGUACCGGGAGAAUAAGCUCCGGCUAACUCCGUGCCAGCAGCCGC
This 447-nucleotide ribosomal RNA is filed under the name uncultured bacterium. Its description in RNAcentral is "SSU rRNA". It matches the Rfam family "Bacterial small subunit ribosomal RNA", at positions 26 to 518 of the family's 1533-position model. The record is from RNAcentral.